This 248-nucleotide ribosomal RNA is filed under the name uncultured Actinomycetales bacterium. Its description in RNAcentral is "partial 16S ribosomal RNA". It matches the Rfam family "Bacterial small subunit ribosomal RNA", at positions 82 to 334 of the family's 1533-position model. Lineage: Bacteria; Bacillati; Actinomycetota; Actinomycetes; Actinomycetales. The record is from RNAcentral.
CUGGGGUACUCGAGUGGCGAACGGGUGAGUAACACGUGGGUGAUCUACCCUGCACUUCGGGAUAAGCCUGGGAAACUGGGUCUAAUACCGGAUAGGACCAUCGUUUAGUGUCGGUGGUGGAAAGUUUUUCGGUGUGGGAUGAGCUCGCGGCCUAUCAGCUUGUUGGUGGGGUAAUGGCCUACCAAGGCGUCGACGGGUAGCCGGCCUGAGAGGGUGUACGGCCACAUUGGGACUGAGAUACGGCCCAG